Molecule: ribosomal RNA, 253 nt
Filed under: uncultured bacterium
Lineage: Bacteria
Description: partial 16S ribosomal RNA
Rfam family: Bacterial small subunit ribosomal RNA
Source: RNAcentral
GACGAAGGGGGCUAGCGUUGCUCGGAAUCACUGGGCGUAAAGCGCACGUAGGCGGCUUUCUAAGUCAGGGGUGAAAUCCUGGAGCUCAACUCCAGAACUGCCUUUGAUACUGGGAAGCUCGAGUCCGGAAGAGGUGAGUGGAACUCCGAGUGUAGAGGUGAAAUUCGUAGAUAUUCGGAAGAACACCAGUGGCGAAGGCGGCUCACUGGUCCGGUACUGACGCUGAGGUGCGAAAGCGUGGGGAGCAAACAGG